UCUAAAUCCUAAACUUUGUCUGGUGAUGAAAAUUGAUGACAGUCAGGUUCCCACCACCAAACAAAGUUUGGGAUUUAGAU
Molecule: microRNA precursor, 80 nt
Filed under: Puccinia sorghi
Lineage: Eukaryota; Fungi; Basidiomycota; Pucciniomycetes; Pucciniales; Pucciniaceae
Description: mir-3
Source: RNAcentral